UUGCCAUGUGGCAGUUCAUGCCACCUGCUGCGGUGGACACGUCACAGGACCACGUACUCCGGCCACCCGUCGCAUAACUUGGUGGCAACCAAGGUUGCCAGAAAGAAACCAUUGGCAGCAACUGAUUGCUUGGGAUUUUGGCCCGGACCUUCAUUUUUAUUCUGCCAUUGUCAACCAAUAUAUUAGUAUUGUUAGUUAGUAGGCUCGCUUUUCAAUUGAUUUUGGGGUUGUCUGUCUUAUUUGUCAUUGGAUACUUGAAAG
This 261-nucleotide unclassified non-coding RNA is filed under the name Hevea brasiliensis (rubber tree). Lineage: Eukaryota; Viridiplantae; Streptophyta; Magnoliopsida; Malpighiales; Euphorbiaceae. The record is from RNAcentral.